GCCCGCAUGGCUCAGUGGUAGAGCGUAGCACUAGUAUGAAACCCCCGGCUUCAGCUAGGUCAAUGCUAAGGUCGUCAGUUCGAUUCUGGCUGUGGGCA
Non-coding RNA from Achaetomium macrosporum, 98 nucleotides. NCBI's taxonomy places the organism in Eukaryota, Fungi, Ascomycota, Sordariomycetes, Sordariales, Chaetomiaceae. The record is from the annotation of a GenBank genome assembly.